GUUAUUUGUGCAUUUACUGAUGGGUAUUCUAGAGCUUUACAUGCAUCCAAGCCCGACUUUGCAGAAAGGUUGUGUUUAUUAAAACAAAAAAACCCAGGCUCCGCCUGGUCAUGUGGUGAUUCAUGAUAACUCGACGAAUCGCGCGGCUCCGCCGGCGAUGCGUCAUUCAAGUUUCUGACCUAUCAGCUUCCGACGGUAGGGUAUUGGCCUACCGUGGCAUUGACGGGUAACGGAUAAUUAGGGUUUGAUUCCGGAGAGGGAGCCUGAAAAACGGCUACCACAUCUAAAAAGACCCAGCGCGCAAAUCCAUAAUCCUGAUACGGGGAGUAGGACAAGA
This 337-nucleotide ribosomal RNA is filed under the name Symbiodinium sp. RP-2015a. RNAcentral describes it as "bacterial SSU rRNA". It matches the Rfam family "Eukaryotic small subunit ribosomal RNA", at positions 132 to 467 of the family's 1831-position model. The record is from RNAcentral. Lineage: Eukaryota; Dinophyceae; Suessiales; Symbiodiniaceae.